RNAcentral lists this ribosomal RNA (255 nucleotides) under uncultured bacterium. RNAcentral describes it as "partial 16S ribosomal RNA". It matches the Rfam family "Bacterial small subunit ribosomal RNA", at positions 103 to 354 of the family's 1533-position model. The record is from RNAcentral.
CGGGUGAGUAACGCGUAUGCGACCUGCCCGUUGCAGGGGGAUAAUCGGGAGAAAUCCCGUCUAAUACCGCGUAAUGCCGCGGGGCUGCAUGGCCCUGCGGCCAAAGGGAGCGAUUCCGGCAACGGAUGGGCAUGCGUGACAUUAGCUAGUUGGCAGGGCAACGGCCCACCAAGGCGACGAUGUCUAGGGGUUCUGAGAGGAAGGUCCCCCACACUGGUACUGAGACACGGACCAGACUCCUACGGAAGGCAGCAG